GACGAACGCUGGCGGCGUGCUUAACACAUGCAAGUCGAACGGAAAGGCCUCUUUCGGGGGGUACUCGAGUGGCGAACGGGUGAGUAACACGUGAGUAACCUGCCCUUGACUUUGGGAUAACUUCAGGAAACUGGGGCUAAUACCGGAUAGGAGCUCCUGCUGCAUGGUGGGGGUUGGAAAGUUUCGGCGGUUGGGGAUGGACUCGCGGCUUAUCAGCUUGUUGGUGGGGUAGUGGCUUACCAAGGCUUUGACGGGUAGCCGGCCUGAGAGGGUGACCGGCCACAUUGGGACUGAGAUACGGCCCAGACUCCUACGGGGGGCAACAGUGGGGAAUAUUGCACAAUGGGUGGAAGCCUGAUGCAGCAACGCCGGGUGCGGGAUGACGGCCUUCGGGUUGUAAACCGCUUUCGCUCAUGACGAAGCUUUGUGUGACGGUAGUGGGUAAAGAAGCACCGGCUAACUACGUG
RNAcentral lists this ribosomal RNA (467 nucleotides) under uncultured bacterium. Its description in RNAcentral is "partial 16S ribosomal RNA". It matches the Rfam family "Bacterial small subunit ribosomal RNA", at positions 28 to 507 of the family's 1533-position model. The record is from RNAcentral.